CCUACGGGAGGCAGCAGUGGGGAAUUUUGGACAAUGGGCGCAAGCCUGAUCCAGCAAUGCCGCGUGUGUGAAGAAGGCCUUCGGGUUGUAAAGCACUUUUGUCCGGAAAGAAAUCCUCUGGGAUAAUACCUCGGGGGGAUGACGGUACCGGAAGAAUAAGCACCGGCUAACUACGUGCCAGCAGCCGCGGUAAU
This 194-nucleotide ribosomal RNA is filed under the name uncultured bacterium. Its description in RNAcentral is "partial 16S ribosomal RNA". It matches the Rfam family "Bacterial small subunit ribosomal RNA", at positions 338 to 524 of the family's 1533-position model. The record is from RNAcentral.